Molecule: ribosomal RNA, 454 nt
Filed under: uncultured bacterium
Lineage: Bacteria
Description: bacterial SSU rRNA
Rfam family: Bacterial small subunit ribosomal RNA
Source: RNAcentral
UACGGAAAGGCAGCAGUGGGGAAUAUUGCACAAUGGGCGCAAGCCUGAUGCAGCCAUGCCGCGUGUAUGAAAAAGGCCUUCGGGUUGUAAAGUACUUUCAGUCGUGAGGAAGGUGUUAAGGUUAAUAACCUUAGCAAUUGACGUUAGCGACAGAAGAAGCACCGGCUAACUCCGUGCCAGCAGCCGCGGUAAUACGGAGGGUGCGAGCGUUAAUCGGAAUUACUGGGCGUAAAGGGCACGCAGGCGGUUAAUUAAGUUGGAUGUGAAAUCCCCGGGCUUAACCUGGGAAUGGCAUUCAAGACUGGUUAGCUAGAGUCUUGUAGAGGGGGUAGAAUUCCAUGUGUAGCGGUGAAAUGCGUAGAGAUGUGGAGGAAUACCGGUGGCGAAGGCGGCCCCUGGACAAAGACUGACGCUCAUGUGCGAAAGCGUGGGGAGCAAACAGGGAUUAGAUACC